AACGCACAUUGCGCCCCUCGGUAUUCCGUGGGGCAUGCCUGUUCGAGCGUCAUUUACCGCCUCAAGCUCAGCUUGGUGUUGGGCGUCUGUCUCGCUGCUCUGCGCGGACUCGCCUCAAAGUCAUUGGCAGCGAUCUUGUCAGCUUCUCGCGCAGCACAUUGCGCUUCUUGGAGCCCUGGCGGGUUGGCAUCCAGUAAGCUACUCCACGACUUGACCUCGGAUCAGGUAGGGAUACCCGCUGAACUUAA
RNAcentral lists this unclassified non-coding RNA (248 nucleotides) under uncultured Pleosporales. RNAcentral's name for it is "sequence contains 5.8S rRNA gene, ITS2, 28S rRNA gene". The record is from RNAcentral. Lineage: Eukaryota; Fungi; Ascomycota; Dothideomycetes; Pleosporales.